This 253-nucleotide ribosomal RNA is filed under the name uncultured bacterium. RNAcentral describes it as "partial 16S ribosomal RNA". It matches the Rfam family "Bacterial small subunit ribosomal RNA", at positions 524 to 776 of the family's 1533-position model. The record is from RNAcentral.
UACGAAGGGAGCUAGCGUUGUUCGGAAUCACUGGGCGUAAAGCGCACGUAGGCGGAUGUGUCAGUCAGGGGUGAAAUCCCGGAGCUCAACUUCGGAACUGCCCUUGAUACAGCACGUCUUGAGUCCGGAAGAGGUGGGUGGAAUUCCCGGUGUAGCGGUGAAAUGCGCAGAUAUCAGGAAGAACACCCGUGGCUAAGGCGGCUCUCUAGUACGGUACUGACGCUGAGACGCGAAAGCGUGGGGAGCGAACAGG